GAUGAACGCUGGCGGCGUGCUUAACACAUGCAAGUCGAACGAUGAAGCCCAGCUUGCUGGGUGGAUUAGUGGCGAACGGGUGAGUAACACGUGAGUAACCUGCCCUUAACUCUGGGAUAAGCCUGGGAAACUGGGUCUAAUACCGGAUAGGAGCGCCUACCGCAUGGUGGGUGUUGGAAAGAUUUAUCGGUUUUGGAUGGACUCGCGGCCUAUCAGCUUGUUGGUGAGGUAAUGGCUCACCAAGGCGACGCCGGGUAGCCGGCCUGAGGGGGUGACCGGCCACACUGGGACUGAGACACGGCCCAGACUCCUACGGGAGGCAGCAGUGGGGAAUAUUGCACAAUGGGCGAAAGCCUGAUGCAGCGACGCCGCGUGAGGGAUGACGGCCUUCGGGUUGUAAACCUCUUUCAGUAGGGAAGAAGCGAAAGUGACGGUACCUGCAGAAGAAGCACCGGCUAACUACGUG
Molecule: ribosomal RNA, 466 nt
Filed under: uncultured bacterium
Lineage: Bacteria
Description: partial 16S ribosomal RNA
Rfam family: Bacterial small subunit ribosomal RNA
Source: RNAcentral